AACAACUAAAUUGGUCUCCCAAUUGAAUCCAACAACUAAAUUGGUCUCUUCCCAAACGUAUCCAACAACAAUGAGCACAAGAAAACAGCCCAUGCCCUUGCAAAGUCUAUUACGAUUGUAAAAGACAGGAGAUCCUUUUGAGUUUUGACCAUUGAUCUCUGGUUUCUUGAACACUUUCUUUCAAUAAUACACCGCACGCAAAGUUCCUUGAAGCUUGCAUGAAGAAGUUUAACUCCAAUGGCAGGAACAAAGUCCCUAACACAAACUUAGAACGUGUGUCAAGCAAUCCCUUCCAUACACCUUUUCAAUUACUUUCAUUUAUAGAGGAAUUGGCAGCUUCUGAUAUCGCGGUGAACACAUUGAUGGACAUGAGGGUCGUUAUUUUCCUUGGAUGGUACGGUGGCUUUCCUAAGGCACAUAGAUCUUUCCUUGCAUUCACGAGUUCAUGGAGUAGAAUAGCCUUGCUGAGACAUGCGGGUUCAACUUCUUGGCCAGCGAUCUCCUCCGGCAAAUGGCAAUUGGAUGAGGCCUUCUCCGACGACUACUGUGAUUACAUCUCUCCGGAUGGUGGAACUUCAUCGGUGGUAUCUAAGGACAUUGUCUCUGACAAAAAAUAGCAUGAAGCAGAUCAAUGAAAGACCCUUUUCACUUAGGACAGUCGAUUCCCAACAUCACCAAGUGUCUGCAGCAGCAGGGGACUAUGAUUUUGAAUAGGAUCUUCCCAUUGUUACCAGAUCUAACAAGAAGAGACCCAAUAACCUUUUCUUUGAUACCUCGUCUACUUCUUCCUCAAUAAAUAACACCAACUAUUUCCCUAUUGAACUGAUUGAUCUUUAUGCACAAUUGGGUUCUUGUUGGCAAGAAUGCAAGGAUAAAACCUGAGGAUUCAUGUUCCACCAUAGCUUUAAUGGCAAUUGUCAGACUAUUGAAAAGAAAUUGUUGGAUGUCCACCAAUCCAUACAUUCAGCGAUAACUCCAUUGCAACUCAGCCUCCUCGGAAGAAUGAACCUGAUGCAAGAGUAUUUGGGUUAAAUCCCAUAUCCUCCUACAACAUACGAAGCUGUCGUCAUCUGCAGUGAUUCCGGCGCCUCCAAUUCGUUCAACAGACAAAUCUCUGGCAGUUUCUCGGCGGAUAGUCCUCUUGCUUGGGCUCUUGAGAGAUCGAGACUAUAUACUUCGUCCAAUUAACAAGUGACGUGAUGAUGAGGUUGUGACAUGUGGAUAGGAGCUAAUUUUGGUAAUCAUCUUGAUUAGGAAGCUACAUUUAAGGUAACAUACUAAAAUGUAAGAUAAUAACAUGAGAGAAGUUCAAAGGAUAAUAACAGAAAGUUAUUUUUUUUAUUAAUUUUUUUACCAAGUUAAUUAAUUCUGUUUCACUAAGGUUGUAUUGGCCGUCUGAAAUUCACUAUCUUGGUAUUACUAUAUUGUAUCCAAUAAGAAAAAAUAUUGAAUAGAUAAUUUAAUACACUUUUAACAGUAAAAAAAAAUCAUCCUAAAGAUAGCAGAAAGUUUCAAGAUUCUAGAGCCACUUUAGUUAUACUGUUGACCAUAUCCAUGGCUUUAUAGAAUACAUUGUGCUUGAUUAUCUCCCAUGAUAACUCUUCUUGACAACAUGUUCUAUCAGAGAACAAAAGAUAUUAAUUUGGAAAUUUUAGGCACCUCAUCAAUCGAAACCUCUGUAACCAAAGAUUGUGCAAUAUCUUAAGAUUUAUACCUGAUUACUCUUUUUGUUACCAUGCAUCAUCAUUUUUUUCCCUGCUCUGGUUCUUCCUAGUCUGCAGGAUUAUAUAUUUUCAAGCAAUACUCUUUUUUUUGUGUAUCUGUUUGCAGAUAGCUGAAACAGGUUUUUUACGCACUAUUUUCCUACAAUGAGUCUUGUUGCAUGUAGAACUGAUCGCAAAAGGCGUUUCUUUGGCACAAGAGAGCAUUGGCGAAAUGAUAAGGAAUCAAGAAUUAUGUUUUGCGCAUACAAA
Non-coding RNA from Arachis ipaensis, 1973 nucleotides. The record is from RefSeq and is a predicted model, not a curated record. NCBI's taxonomy places the organism in Eukaryota, Viridiplantae, Streptophyta, Magnoliopsida, Fabales, Fabaceae.